This 1405-nucleotide long non-coding RNA is filed under the name Salmo salar (Atlantic salmon). RNAcentral describes it as "lncRNA (ENSSSAG00000097130.1)". The record is from RNAcentral. Lineage: Eukaryota; Metazoa; Chordata; Actinopteri; Salmoniformes; Salmonidae.
GACCUGAGCCCUAGGACCAUGCCUCAGGACUACCUGGCAUGAUGACUCCUUGCUGUCCCCAGUCCACCUGGCCGUGCUGCUGCUCCAGUUUCAACUGUUCUACCUGCGGCUAUGGAACCCUGACCUGUUCACCGGACGUGCUUGUUGCACCCUCGACAACUACUAUGAUUAUUAUUAUUUGACCAUGCUGGUCAUUUAUGAACAUUUUAACAUCUUGACCAUGUUCUGUUAUAAUAUCCACCCGGCACAGCCAGAAGAGGACUGGCCACCCCUCAUAGCCUGGUUCCUCUCUAGGUUUCUUCCUUGGUUUUUCGCCUUUCUAGGGAGUUUUUCCUAGGGAGUUUUUCCUAGCCACCGUGCUUCUUUCACAUGCAUUGCUUGCUGUUUGGGGUUUUAGGCUGGGUUUCUGUACAGCCCUUUGAGAUAUCAGCUGAUGUACGAAGGGCUAUAUAAAUCAAUUUGAUUUGAUUUGAUUUGAUUGCAAAGCAAUCACUAGCCUGCUAUUCAGUGGAGUGGAUGUGUGGUCCCAAAUCUGGGAUUAGUGGGCUCUUUUCCAAGUUUAAAAUGAUAAACAUUCAACAUUGGCCAUGCUGUCAAUGAAGCAUAAUUUGUGACUUCAGUGAGUUCAAGACAACUGGGAAGUUGGGAAUAAACUUUUUUUUUUAAAGUUUUGAACGGUCAUCCAACUCGGAAUUGUAAAUCGUCCUCUUUCUAGAGCUACGACCUGAAGAUCAAUGACGUUAUCAUGAUUCAAACUUGUUUUUUUCCGAGUUCACAAUUGUUUUGAAAGCACCACAAAUCCAGAGAAUGCCAGACUUUGAUGACAAAAGUUUCCCACAAGGACCGCCAAGGACCACCUUCCUGUUCAAGUGAGCACAGAACAACAAGACAGUUUUAUGUUGCUGGAGAGAAUUUGAGGAGUGAGAGAGUCCUUCAAGUCAACUAACUCUACUGCUAGAGGGAAGAACUAGGUAGUUAAACCAGGAAAUGAACACACGAAAUGGAGGAAACAGGCACUGGGACCUGGCUCCCAGAACGCUAAGGCAGACGCAUUAUCCCGGCUGUAUGACACAGAGGAGCGGCCCAUGGAUCCCACUCCCAUACUCCCCGCCUCUUGCCUGGUGGCGCCUGUAGUGUGGGAGCUGGACGCGGACGUUGACAAUGAAAGUUACACAGUACUCUCCUCGAAUUAUCUGAUUACAGCACUGCAUUUUUCUUUUAACAUAGGAACUACUAAAUCAAAGGGACGGUAAAUCCCACGUCGGGAAGUUGACUCAAUGUCAUAUAAAAUGCGAAUCAAUUUAUAACAUUUUUGACAUGCGUUUUUCUGGAUAUUUUUGUUGUUAUUCUGUCUCUCACUGUUCAAAUAGACCUACCAUUAAAAUUAUAGACUGAUCCUUUCUUU